CCCGCUGAACUUAAGCAUAUCAAUAAGCGGAGGAAAAGAAACUAACAAGGAUUCCCCUAGUAACUGCGAGUGAAGCGGGAAAAGCUCAAAUUUAAAAUCUGGCGGUCUUUCAGCCGUCCGAGUUGUAAUCUGGAGAAGCGUUUAUCCGCGUUGGACCGUGUACAAGUCUUCUGGAAGGGAGCGUCAUAGAGGGUGAGAAUCCCGUCUUUGACACGGACUACCAAUGCUUUUGUGAUGCGCUCUCGAAGAGUCGAGUUGUUUGGGAAUGCAGCUCAAAAUGGGUGGUAAAUUCCAUCUAAAGCUAAAUAUUGGCGAGAGACCGAUAGCGAACAAGUACCGUGAGGGAAAGAUGAAAAGCACUUUGGAAAGAGAGUUAAACAGUACGUGAAAUUGUUGAAAGGGAAACGUUUGAAGUCAGUCGCGUCGGCCGAGACUCAGCCUUGCUUCCGCUCGGUGCACUUCUCGGUUGACGGGUCAGCAUCAAUUUCGACCGCCGGAUAAUGGCAAGGGAAAGGUGGCACCUUUGCGGGUGUGUUAUAGUCUCAUGUCGCAUGUGAGGGGGGGGAUCGAGGAACUCAGCGCGCGCCUCUGGUGUCGGGGCUUUGGCCCACGUAACGUGCUUAGGAUGCUGGCGUAAUGGCUUUAAACGACCCGUCUUGAAACACGG
This 667-nucleotide ribosomal RNA is filed under the name uncultured fungus. RNAcentral describes it as "eukaryotic LSU rRNA". It matches the Rfam family "Eukaryotic large subunit ribosomal RNA", at positions 24 to 664 of the family's 3401-position model. Lineage: Eukaryota; Fungi. The record is from RNAcentral.